Long non-coding RNA from Callorhinchus milii (elephant shark), 334 nucleotides. RefSeq lists it as uncharacterized. The transcript is spliced from 3 exons. The record is from RefSeq and is a predicted model, not a curated record. NCBI's taxonomy places the organism in Eukaryota, Metazoa, Chordata, Chondrichthyes, Chimaeriformes, Callorhinchidae.
GGGGUGGGUGGGGAGGAGGUGCGUGGCUCGGGUUCACAUCUCCAUCCCUCCCGCGCCAAGUGUCAGGUCAGCGCCAAACGGAGGAGGAGAAAUGCGGCGGUUUAAUCAGAGAAAUUUGCCAGCUGUUAAUGCAUUCUUACAAAGAUGGGUUAAGAGGAGAGGACCAAGGACAGAGCACUGAGGAAUGCUGCACGAGACAGUCUGGGGGCUGGAGGAGAAGCUGUUCGUGGAGACAAACUGGAGAUGGUGCGAAAGGUGUCAACUUCGAUGAGUUAAGACUGUCCCAUGUUUGCUUUAAGUCAAAAUGUUGUGGGUUUAAUCCCCAUGUUGGAAC